This 468-nucleotide ribosomal RNA is filed under the name uncultured bacterium. RNAcentral's name for it is "partial 16S ribosomal RNA". It matches the Rfam family "Bacterial small subunit ribosomal RNA", at positions 28 to 507 of the family's 1533-position model. The record is from RNAcentral.
GACGAACGCUGGCGGCGGGCUUAACACAUGCAAGUCGAACGGAAAGGCCCUGCUUUUGUGUGGUGCUCGAGUGGCGAACGGGUGAGUAACACGUGAGUAACCUGCGCUUUACUUGGGGAUAACUUCAGGAAACUGGGGCUAAUACCGGAUAGGAGCUCCUGCUGCAUGGUGGGCGUUGGAAAGUUUCGUCGGUGGUGGAUGGACUCGCGGCUUAUCAGCUUGUUGGUGGGGUAGUGGCUUACCAAGGCUUUGACGGGUAGCCUGCCUGAGAGGGUGAACGGCCACCAUGGGACUGCGAGACGGACCAGUCUGCAAUGGGAGGCAGUAGUGGGGAAUCUUGCACAACGGGCGGACGUGUGAUGAAGAAAUGCUGCGUGCGGGAUGAAGGCUUUCGGGUUGUGAACCGCUUUAGCCUGUGACGAAGCGUGAGUGACGGUAAUGGGCAAAGAAGCACCGGCUAACUACGUG